GGCAGCAGUGGGGAAUUUUGGACAAUGGGGGAAACCCUGAUCCAGCCAUCCCGCGUGUGCGAUGAAGGCCUUCGGGUUGUAAAGCACUUUUGGCAGGAAAGAAACGUUCCGGGUUAAUACCCCGGGAAACUGACGGUACCUGCAGAAUAAGCACCGGCUAACUACGUGCCAGCAGCCGCG
This 180-nucleotide ribosomal RNA is filed under the name BTEX-degrading bacterium enrichment culture. RNAcentral describes it as "partial 16S ribosomal RNA". It matches the Rfam family "Bacterial small subunit ribosomal RNA", at positions 347 to 519 of the family's 1533-position model. The record is from RNAcentral.